GGAGGGAUACCAAAGUGGCCAAAUGGGGCGGACUGUAAAUCCGCUGGCUUUGCCUUCGUAGGUUCGAAUCCUACUCCCUCCACCA
Molecule: transfer RNA, 85 nt
Filed under: Thermoactinomyces vulgaris
Lineage: Bacteria; Bacillati; Bacillota; Bacilli; Caryophanales; Thermoactinomycetaceae
Also listed under: 3 other names
Description: tRNA-Tyr
Rfam family: tRNA
About the family: Transfer RNA (tRNA) molecules are approximately 80 nucleotides in length. Their secondary structure includes four short double-helical elements and three loops (D, anti-codon, and T loops).
Source: RNAcentral